GGUUGAAAUUUUCAAUUAUUUCUACUGUUAAAAACCGGCACAGCUAAUUGAAUAACCAAAUAAUUAUACCUGGCAUGCCACGUGUAUCUCAUAGAAUAAAUUUUUAAUAGUAAAAAUAAGUGAAAAUUUUAAAA
RNAcentral lists this microRNA precursor (134 nucleotides) under Gossypium arboreum. RNAcentral describes it as "MIR7502 microRNA precursor family". It matches the Rfam family "MIR7502 microRNA precursor family". Lineage: Eukaryota; Viridiplantae; Streptophyta; Magnoliopsida; Malvales; Malvaceae. The record is from Rfam by way of RNAcentral.